UACGUAGGGGGCAAGCGUUAUCCGGAUUUACUGGGUGUAAAGGGAGCGUAGACGGUUAAGCAAGUCAGAAGUGAAAGCCCAAAGCUCAACUUCGGGACUGCUUUUGAAACUGUGUAACUAGAGUGCAGGAGGGGUAAGCGGAAUUCCUAGUGUAGCGGUGAAAUGCGUAGAUAUUAGGAGGAACACCGGCGGCGAAGGCGGCUUACUGGACUGUAACUGACGUUGAGGCUCGAAAGCGUGGGGAGCAAACAGG
This 253-nucleotide ribosomal RNA is filed under the name uncultured bacterium. RNAcentral's name for it is "partial 16S ribosomal RNA". It matches the Rfam family "Bacterial small subunit ribosomal RNA", at positions 524 to 776 of the family's 1533-position model. The record is from RNAcentral.